GACGAACGCUGGCGGCGUGCCUAAUACAUGCAAGUUGAGCGAUGAAGCUUGGUGCUUGCACCAAUUUGAAGAGCAGCGCACGGGUGAGUAACGCGUGGGGAAUCUGCCUUUGAGCGGGGGACAACAUUUGGAAACGAAUGCUAAUACCGCAUAACAACUUUAAACAUAAGUUUUAAGUUUGAAAGAUGCAAUUGCAUCACUCAAAGAUGAUCCCGCGUUGUAUUAGCUAGUUGGUGAGGUAAAGGCUCACCAAGGCGAUGAUACAUAGCCGACCUGAGAGGGUGAUCGGCCACAUUGGGACUGAGACACGGCCCAAACGCCUACGGGAGGCAGCAGGAGGGAAUCUUCGGCAAUGGACGAAAGUCUGACCGAGCAACGCCGCGUGAGGGAAGAAGGUUGUCGGAUCGUAAAACUCGGUUGGUAGAGAAGAACGUUGGUGAGAGUGGAAAGCUCAUCAAGUGACGGUAACUACCCAGAAAGGGACGGCUAACUACGUG
Molecule: ribosomal RNA, 497 nt
Filed under: uncultured bacterium
Lineage: Bacteria
Description: partial 16S ribosomal RNA
Rfam family: Bacterial small subunit ribosomal RNA
Source: RNAcentral